This 813-nucleotide ribosomal RNA is filed under the name uncultured bacterium. RNAcentral's name for it is "bacterial SSU rRNA". It matches the Rfam family "Bacterial small subunit ribosomal RNA", at positions 76 to 874 of the family's 1533-position model. The record is from RNAcentral.
CUUGCAGAGUGCGGAUGAGUGGCGAACGGGUGAGUAACACGUGGGAAAUCUGCCUAGGAGUGGGGGAUAACAUUCGGAAACGGAUGCUAAUACCGCAUAUCUUUUUUGAACCGCAUGGUUCUUAAACGAAAGACAGCUUCGGCUGUCGCUCUUAGAUGAUCCCGCGGCGUAUUAGUUAGUUGGUGGGGUAAAGGCCUACCAAGACCAUGAUACGUAGCCGACCUGAGAGGGUGAUCGGCCACACUGGGACUGAGACACGGCCCAGACUCCUACGGGAGGCAGCAGUAGGGAAUCUUCCACAAUGGGUGAAAACCUGAUGGAGCAAUGCCGCGUGAAUGAAGAAGGUCUUCGGAUCGUAAAGUUCUGUUAUUAGAGAAGAACAAGUCAAGGAGUAACUGUCUUGACUUUGACGGUACCUAACCAGAAAGUCACGGCUAACUACGUGCCAGCAGCCGCGGUAAUACGUAGGUGACAAGCGUUGUCCGGAAUUAUUGGGCGUAAAGGGAGCGCAGGCGGUUGGAAUAGUCUGAUGUGAAAGCCCACGGCUUAACCGUGGAAGGUCAUUGGAAACUGUCCAACUUGAAUACAGAAGAGGUAAGUGGAAUUCCAAGUGUAGCGGUGAAAUGCGUAGAUAUUUGGAGGAACACCAGUGGCGAAGGCGACUUACUGGUCUGUAAUUGACGCUGAGGCUCGAAAGCGUGGGUAGCAAACAGGAUUAGAUACCCUGGUAGUCCACGCCGUAAACGAUGAGUGCUAAGUGUUAGGGGGUUUCCGCCCCUUAGUGCUGGAGUUAACGCAUUAAGCACUCCGCCU